UGAGGAAUAUUGGUCAAUGGGCGAGAGCCUGAACCAGCCAAGUCGCGUGAGGGAAGACGGUCCUACGGAUUGUAAACCUCUUUUGUCGGGGAGCAAUAAGGCGUACGAGUACACAGAUGCGAGUACCCGAAGAAAAAGCAUCGGCUAACUCCGUGCCAGCAGCCGCGGUAAUACGGAGGAUGCGAGCGUUAUCCGGAUUUAUUGGGUUUAAAGGGUGCGCAGGCGGAAAGUGCAAGUCAGCGGUCAAACGACGGGGCUCAACCCCGUCUCGCCGUUGAAACUGUCUUUCUAGAGUGAGCGAGAAGUAUGCGGAAUGCGUGGUGUAGCGGUGAAAUGCAUAGAUAUCACGCAGAACUCCGAUUGCGAAGGCAGCAUACCGGCGCUCAACUGACGCUCAUGCACGAAAGCGUGGGUAUCGAACAGGAUUAGAUACC
Molecule: ribosomal RNA, 434 nt
Filed under: uncultured bacterium
Lineage: Bacteria
Description: bacterial SSU rRNA
Rfam family: Bacterial small subunit ribosomal RNA
Source: RNAcentral